RNAcentral lists this long non-coding RNA (1680 nucleotides) under Canis lupus familiaris (dog). RNAcentral's name for it is "lncRNA (ENSCAFG00845006664.1)". The record is from RNAcentral. Lineage: Eukaryota; Metazoa; Chordata; Mammalia; Carnivora; Canidae.
AUGCAUUUACAGACCAGACAUGAUGAUCCUCUGACUAGAAGCAUGACUGUGAUUUUCUGCAAUGGGAGAGGGAAGAGGAGGAUGAAAUUAUGUACGUUUCAACAUGAAAGACGAGAGAAUAACAAAAAACUUACAUUUUCAAUAGGUAUAUUUUAAAUAAAAGUCUGAAAAAGGAUUGACCUUGGAAUUUUCUGGAAAGAAAUAAAACAUGCUUCCUUGUGCCCCUAAGGGUCCAAGUCCUAGAAUCAGUUCCAUGUAGGAAACUGCAAGUUCUUCAUAGAGGCACAACAUUUGGGCCAAGGGACGACCGAAAGAAAAUUCAUGGAGACUUGUCAGCCAGAGCAAAUGCUUUCUAUCAAGAGAAAAAUUCCUUUGCACUUAGGAAAAAAAACUCAAAAAAGCGCAAGUACUUUGUUGUUGCUACUAUUCUUGCUGUGGUUUAAAUAACGUAACUCUAAACAACUUAGACCAUAUGGUGAACACAUGUCAGUACCCUGUAGACCAAAUUAUUCAGGCUUCUCAACUUUGAAUUCUCAUUAAUGCUAUGGGUCAAAUAGGAGUGAUUUCACUAAUCAUAUCAUUGCAUCAUGUUUUAAGCAAGGAAUUCAUUUAAAAAAAACUGUAAUUUUGAUUAAGUAUGCCAAUUAAAUCUAUUGUUAUAAAUACCAAAAUUUAUCUUCCUUGGCCUAAUCAUAUAAGGAACUUAAAAUUAACUGUCUACAAAGAAAGCCUCCAUUAAUCUUAAUUUCUCAGUGUAGCAUGUUGUUGGAUAUAAACUGGUUUGAGUUGGAUAACUCUUUUUUUCCAGGUUUCCUAAAACAAAUUGUACCAUUUUACCCUUUGUGCAUUAGAGAUCAGAAACUUCCUAUUAAAAAACAAGCUUCAUUCCACAUACCAAAAAAGUCAUAAUUAUUCCCACUUUAUCUUUAGCAUUUUUUCCAUUACUCAUCAAAUUACUCUCCUUCAUCUUUUCAUAAACUUUUGAAACUACAAAGAACCUUAGAGAUCUAAUCCAUCACUUCUCUUCCCUCUAGCACCACCACCCGAGUCCCAGCUACAAUCAUUCCUCAUCAAGACAACUGAGGAAGACCCCGACUGCCCUGGCUCUCUUCCCAUUUGUUUUCACCAUGCAGCCAGAGCCAUCUGUUCAAAAACUUGUCAGCACUCAUCCCAUGUCCAGUCAUCCUAUCCAUCCUCCAACAGCCUCCAUCCCAUAACAGACACCUUAAAUUCUAUCUUUGUACUAUGUUUAUGAUAAAGCUAAAACUCCUUAACUCAGCCAACUAGGCCCUACAAAAUCUGGUGCCUUUGAGCUCUUCAUCCUAAUCUCAGACCACGCUAGCUCACUCCCAGUCUUGGCCCCAGUAGACAUCUAUCCUUAGCUAUCCUGACACUCCCUACACUGUUUGACCCCCUGCUUACAAUUCAUUCUGCCUCAAAUGCUCUAUUCUCCUUCUAUACCUGAUUGGCUUAUUGUUGAAGGUACUUUUUUAGAGAUGCCAGAGCCCUAUGUUUUGAAUAAAUUCCCAGGGUAUUCUAUUUGAAGUUCAUAGUGAUAGGCUUGUCUUAAUCCCUUACUUUGGCCAAAAUGACUAAAAUGGUACUUUCUACACAGUUGGUAUGAUACAUGAUUCUAUUCAAAAUACUUUUUUGGUUCUGAUUUUGGAGGCAUUCAAUAAG